GACGAACGCUGGCGGCGUGCUUACCACAUGCAAGUCGAACGGUAAGGCCCUUCGGGGUACACGAGUGGCGAACGGGUGAGUAACACGUGGGUGAUCUGCCCUGCACUUCGGGAUAAGCCUGGGAAACUGGGUCUAAUACCGGAUAGUACCACUGCCUACAUGGGUGGUGGUGGAAAGAUUUUGCGGUGUGGGAUGGGCCCGCGGCCUAUCAGCUUGUUGGUGGGGUGAUGGCCUACCAAGGCGACGACGGGUAGCCGGCCUGAGAGGGUGACCGGCCACACUGGGACUGAGAUACGGCCCAGACUCCUACGGGAGGCAGCAGUGGGGAAUAUUGCACAAUGGGCGCAAGCCUGAUGCAGCGACGCCGCGUGAGGGAUGACGGCCUUCGGGUUGUAAACCUCUUUCAGCACCGACGAAGCGCAAGUGACGGUAGGUGCAGAAGAAGGACCGGCCAACUACGUGCCAGCCGCCGCAGUAA
RNAcentral lists this ribosomal RNA (478 nucleotides) under uncultured bacterium. Its description in RNAcentral is "partial 16S ribosomal RNA". It matches the Rfam family "Bacterial small subunit ribosomal RNA", at positions 28 to 523 of the family's 1533-position model. The record is from RNAcentral.